GUGUUGUAUGAAAGGAGAGAAGGUUAGCAUUCCCCUUGACAAGGACAAGGAUGGAAGAGGCUCUCGGGCCUGUACAACAUGCAUACAGUUAAGGCAUUGCCACCUACUUCGUGGCAUCUAACCAUGGUUUAAA
Small nuclear RNA from Lemur catta (Ring-tailed lemur), 133 nucleotides. NCBI's taxonomy places the organism in Eukaryota, Metazoa, Chordata, Mammalia, Primates, Lemuridae. The record is from RefSeq and is a predicted model, not a curated record.